AUUGAACGCUGGCGGCAGGCCUAACACAUGCAAGUCGAGCGGAUGAAGGGAGCUUGCUCCUGGAUUCAGCGGCGGACGGGUGAGUAAUGCCUAGGAAUCUGCCUGGCAGUGGGGGAUAACGUCCGGAAACGGGCGCUAAUACCGUAUACGUCCUGAGGGAGAAAGUGGGGGAUCUUCGGACCUCACGCUAUCAGAUGAGCCUAGGUCGGAUUAGCUAGUUGGUGGGGUAAAGGCCUACCAAGGCGACGAUCCGUAACUGGUCUGAGAGGAUGAUCAGUCACACUGGAACUGAGACACGGUCCAGACUCCUACGGGAGGCAGCAGUGGGGAAUAUUGGACAAUGGGCGAAAGCCUGAUCCAGCCAUGCCGCGUGUGUGAAGAAGGUCUUCGGAUUGUAAAGCACUUUAAGUUGGGAAGAAGAGCAGUAAGUUAAUACCUUGCUGUUUUGACGGUACCAACAGAAUAAGCACCGGCUAACUUCGUG
This 484-nucleotide ribosomal RNA is filed under the name uncultured bacterium. RNAcentral describes it as "partial 16S ribosomal RNA". It matches the Rfam family "Bacterial small subunit ribosomal RNA", at positions 30 to 507 of the family's 1533-position model. The record is from RNAcentral.